Molecule: ribosomal RNA, 390 nt
Filed under: uncultured bacterium
Lineage: Bacteria
Description: bacterial SSU rRNA
Rfam family: Bacterial small subunit ribosomal RNA
Source: RNAcentral
AUUGAACGCUGGCGGCAUGCCUUACACAUGCAAGUCGAACGGCAGCGGGCCUUCGGGUGCCGGCGAGUGGCGAACGGGUGAGUAAUGCAUCGGAACGUGCCAUUGAGUGGGGGGAUAACGUAGCGAAAGUUGCGCUAAUACCGCAUAUUCUGUGAGCAGGAAAGCAGGGGACCGCAAGGCCUUGCGCUCUUUGAGCGGCCGAUGUCAGAUUAGCUAGUUGGUGAGGUAAAGGCUUACCAAGGCGACGAUCUGUAGCGGGUCCUGAGAGGAUGAUCCGCCACACUGGAACUGAGACACGGUCCAGACUCCUACGGGAGGCAGCAGUGGGGAAUUUUGGACAAUGGGCGCAAGCCUGAUCCAGCCAUGCCGCGUGAGUGAAGAAGGCCUCGG